Molecule: ribosomal RNA, 301 nt
Filed under: uncultured Planctomycetota bacterium
Lineage: Bacteria; Pseudomonadati; Planctomycetota
Description: bacterial SSU rRNA
Rfam family: Bacterial small subunit ribosomal RNA
Source: RNAcentral
AAUGAACGUUGGCGGCGUGGAUUAGGCAUGCAAGUCGAGCGGGUGUAGCAAUACACCAGCGGCGAAAGGGAGAGGAACACGUGGAUAACCUACCCUCGGGUUCAGGAUAGCCAUGGGAAACUAUGGGUAAUACUGAAUAACAUCUCCGGAUCAAAGGUGAGAUUCCGCCCGGGGAGGGGUCCGCGUCCUAUUAGCUAGUUGGCGAGGUAACGGCUCACCAAGGCUGUGAUGGGUACGGGAUGUGAGAGCAUGAUCCCGCUCAUUGGGACUGAGACACUGCCCAGACACCUACGGGUGGCUG